This is a non-coding RNA of Ixodes scapularis (black-legged tick), 32 nucleotides long. NCBI's taxonomy places the organism in Eukaryota, Metazoa, Arthropoda, Arachnida, Ixodida, Ixodidae. The record is from Rfam.
AUGCAAUCCUCGGCAGUGUCCUGAGACUGCGU